This 169-nucleotide unclassified non-coding RNA is filed under the name uncultured Geastrum. RNAcentral describes it as "sequence contains ITS1". The record is from RNAcentral. Lineage: Eukaryota; Fungi; Basidiomycota; Agaricomycetes; Geastrales; Geastraceae.
CUGAAGAAAAACAGGGUCUUGAGACUACAAUCCUUUGUGUGCUCGACCUUGAACUCUUUCAUCCACACACACCUUUGUGCACUAUGGGGACUGAACUGGUCCCCCAUUUUUACAUUAAACACCUAGUUAUAUGCAUGUUUUUUUACAUACUCUACGGAGUAAAAUGUAA